GGAACCCUGAUGCAGCGACGCCGCGUGGAGGAAGAAGGUUUUCGGAUUGUAAACUCCUGUCGUGGAGGGACGAUAAUGACGGUACCUAACAAGAAAGCACCGGCUAACUACGUGCCAGCAGCCGCGGUAAAACGUAGGGUGCAAGCGUUGUCCGGAAUUACUGGGUGUAAAGGGAGCGCAGGCGGACCGGCAAGUUGGAAGUGAAAUCUAUGGGCUCAACCCAUAAAUUGCUUUCAAAACUGCUGGCCUUGAGUAGUGCAGAGGUAGGUGGAAUUCCCGGUGUAGCGGUGGAAUGCGUAGAUAUCGGGAGGAACACCAGUGGCGAAGGCGACCUACUGGGCACCAACUGACGCUGAGGCUCGAAAGCAUGGGUAGCAAACAGGAUUAGAUACCCUGGUAGUCCAUGCCGUAAACGAUGAUUACUAGGUGUUGGAGGAUUGACCCCUUCAGUGCCGCAGUUAACACAAUAAGUAAUCCACCUGGGGAGUACGACCGCAAGGUUGAAACUCAAAGGAAUUGACGGGGGCCCGCACAAGCAGUGGAGUAUGUGGUUUAAUUCGAAGCAACGCGAAGAACCUUACCAGGUCUUGACAUCCGAUGCAUAGCAUAGAGAUAUGUGAAGUCCUUCGGGACAUCGAGACAGGUGGUGCAUGGUUGUCGUCAGCUCGUGUCGUGAGAUGUUGGGUUAAGUCCCGCAACGAGCGCAACCCUUAUUGCCAGUUACUACGCAAGAGGACUCUGGCGAGACUGCCGUUGACAAAACGGAGGAAGGUGGGGAUGACGUCAAAUCAUCAUGCCCUUUAUGCGCUGGGCUACACACGUGCUACAAUGGGUAGUACAGAGAGUCGCAAACCUGCGAGGGGGAGCUAAUCUCAGAAAACUAUUCUCAGUUCGGAUUGUACUCUGCAACUCGAGUACAUGAAGUUGGAAUCGCUAGUAAUCGCAAAUCAGCUAUGUUGCGGUGAAUACGUUCUCGGGUCUUGUACACACCGCCCGUA
RNAcentral lists this ribosomal RNA (998 nucleotides) under uncultured bacterium. RNAcentral's name for it is "bacterial SSU rRNA". It matches the Rfam family "Bacterial small subunit ribosomal RNA", at positions 377 to 1398 of the family's 1533-position model. The record is from RNAcentral.